AGAAUGUGACAUUGAUGGUUGACCCCUUGCAAAGAAACCACCAGCAUGUACACACAACAAUGCUGCAAUGCUUUAGACAACAUUGAUCUGGAGACUUCAUGAUUUACAUGUAUAAGGCUUUUAAAUGUAAAAAAAAAAAAAAUAAUCCCUACCUACCUACCCACCUGCUGAUAGUGUGGGUCGGCAAUGCCAAACAAACAAUUUUUUAAGGGUGGCCU
This 218-nucleotide long non-coding RNA is filed under the name Mytilus galloprovincialis (Mediterranean mussel). The record is from RNAcentral. Lineage: Eukaryota; Metazoa; Mollusca; Bivalvia; Mytilida; Mytilidae.